AUUGAACGCUGGCGGCAUGCCUUACACAUGCAAGUCGAACGGCAGCGCGGACUUCGGUCUGGCGGCGAGUGGCGAACGGGUGAGUAAUACAUCGGAACGUACCCUGUUGUGGGGGAUAACUAGUCGAAAGAUUAGCUAAUACCGCAUACGACCUGAGGGUGAAGGUGGGGGGCGGCAAGGCCUCACGCAGCAGGAGCGGCCGAUGUCUGAUUAGCUAGUUGGUGGGGUAAAGGCCCACCAAGGCGACGAUCAGUAGCUGGUCUGAGAGGACGAUCAGCCACACUGGGACUGAGACACGGACCAGACUCCUACGGGAGGCAGCAGUGUGGAAUUGUGGACAAUGGGGGCAAACCUGAUCCAGCAAUGCCGCGUGUGUGAAGAAGGCCUUCGGGUUGUAAAGAACGUUUGUCCGGAAAGAAAUCGCGCUGGUUAAUACCUGGCGUGGAUGACGGUACCGGAAGAAUAAGCACCGGCUAACUACGUG
RNAcentral lists this ribosomal RNA (484 nucleotides) under uncultured bacterium. Its description in RNAcentral is "partial 16S ribosomal RNA". It matches the Rfam family "Bacterial small subunit ribosomal RNA", at positions 29 to 507 of the family's 1533-position model. The record is from RNAcentral.